GUAGGCAUAGUUUAACAAAAACACUAGAUUGUGAUUCUAAAAAUAGAAGUUAGAACCUCCUUGCCCACC
Molecule: transfer RNA, 69 nt
Filed under: Odontobutis obscura
Lineage: Eukaryota; Metazoa; Chordata; Actinopteri; Gobiiformes; Odontobutidae
Description: tRNA-His
Rfam family: tRNA
About the family: Transfer RNA (tRNA) molecules are approximately 80 nucleotides in length. Their secondary structure includes four short double-helical elements and three loops (D, anti-codon, and T loops). Further hydrogen bonds mediate the characteristic L-shaped molecular structure. tRNAs have two regions of fundamental functional importance: the anti-codon, which is responsible for specific mRNA codon recognition, and the 3' end, to which the tRNAs corresponding amino acid is attached (by aminoacyl-tRNA synthetases). tRNAs cope with the degeneracy of the genetic code in two manners: having more than one tRNA (with a specific anti-codon) for a particular amino acid; and 'wobble' base-pairing, i.e. permitting non-standard base-pairing at the 3rd anti-codon position.
Source: RNAcentral